Molecule: ribosomal RNA, 451 nt
Filed under: uncultured bacterium
Lineage: Bacteria
Description: partial 16S ribosomal RNA
Rfam family: Bacterial small subunit ribosomal RNA
Source: RNAcentral
AACGAACGCUGGCGGCAGGCUUAACACAUGCAAGUCGAACGGUUGUAGCAAUACAGCAGUGGCGCACGGGUGAGUAUCGCGUGGAUAUCUGCCUUUUGGUUCGGAAUAACUCCGGGAAACUGGAGCUAAUACCGGAUGGUUCCUACGGGAUAAAGAUUUAUCGCCAAAAGAUGAGUCCGCGUACGAUUAGCUAGUUGGUGAGGUAAUGGCUCACCAAGGCGACGAUCGUUAGCUGGUCUGAGAGGACGAUCAGCCACACUGGGACUGAGACACGGCCCAGACUCCUACGGGAGGCAGCAGUGGGGAAUAUUGGACAAUGGGGGCAACCCUGAUCCAGCCAUGCCGCGUGAGUGAUGAAGGCCUUCGGGUUGUAAAGCUCUUUUGGCGGGGACGAUGAUGACGGUACCCGCAGAAUAAGCCCCGGCUAACUUCGUGCCAGCCGCCGCCGUAA